Molecule: ribosomal RNA, 253 nt
Filed under: uncultured bacterium
Lineage: Bacteria
Description: partial 16S ribosomal RNA
Rfam family: Bacterial small subunit ribosomal RNA
Source: RNAcentral
UACGUAGGGUGCAAGCGUUAAUCGGAAUUACUGGGCGUAAAGCGUGCGCAGGCGGUUAUGUAGGGCAGAUGUGAAAUGCCCGGGCUUAACCUGGGAACUGCAUUUGUGACUGCAUGGCUAGAGUUUGGCAGAGGGGGGUAGAAUUCCACGUGUAGCAGUGAAAUGCGUAGAUAUGUGGAGGAACGCCGAUGGCGAAGGCAGCCCCCUGGGUCAAGACUGACGCUCAUGCACGAAAGCGUGGGGAGCAAACAGG